GAUGAGACUCUGGGUCACCUCCCACCCGUGUUUAUUGUACCUUGUUGCUUCGGUGCGCCCGCCUCACGGCCGCCGGGGGGCUUCUGCCCCCGGGUCCGCGCGCACCGGAGACACCAUUGAACUCUGUCUGAAGAUUGCAGUCUGAGCAUAAACUAAAUAAGUUAAAACUUUCAACAACGGAUCUCUUGGUUCCGGCAUCGAUGAAGAACGCAGCGAAAUGCGAUAACUAAUGUGAAUUGCAGAAUUCAGUGAAUCAUCGAGUCUUUGAACGCACAUUGCGCCCCCUGGUAUUCCGGGGGGCAUGCCUGUCCGAGCGUCAUUGCUGCCCUCAAGCACGGCUUGUGUGUUGGGCUCCGUCCCCCCGGGGACGGGCCCGAAAGGCAGCGGCGGCACCGAGUCCGGUCCUCGAGCGUAUGGGGCUUUGUCACCCGCUCUGUAGGCCCGGCCGGCGCCAGCCGACAACCCAUCAUCCUUUUCAGGUUGACCUCGGAUCAGGUAGGGAUACCCGCUGAACUUAAGCAUAUCAAUAAGCGGAGGAA
RNAcentral lists this ribosomal RNA (539 nucleotides) under Penicillium spinulosum. RNAcentral's name for it is "eukaryotic LSU rRNA". The stretch from base 166 to 319 matches the Rfam family "5.8S ribosomal RNA". The record is from RNAcentral. Lineage: Eukaryota; Fungi; Ascomycota; Eurotiomycetes; Eurotiales; Aspergillaceae.